GACGAACGCUGGCGGCGUGCUUAACACAUGCAAGUCGAACGGAAAGGCCCGGGCUUGUUGGGGUACUCGAGUGGCGAACGGGUGAGUAACACGUGGGUAACCUGCCCUUCACUGUGGGAUAAGCUUAGGAAACUGGGUCUAUUACGGGAUAUGAUCUUUCGCCUUAUGGUGGGUGUUGGAAAGUUUUGCGGUUUGGGAGGGGACAGCCGCCUUUCGGCUUGUUGUGGGGGUUGUGGGCUACCAAGGCGACGACGGGUAGCCGGCCUGAGAGGGUGAUCGGCCACAUUGGGACUGAGCUACGGCCCAGCCUCCUACGGGAGGCAGCAGUGGGGAAUAUUGCACAAUGGGCGGAAGCCUGAUGCAGCGACGCCGCGUGAGGGAUGACGGCCUUCGGGUUGUAAACCUAUUUCCUCUGGGACGAAGCGUAAGUGACGGUACCGGGAGAAGAAGCACCGGCUAACUACGUG
This 467-nucleotide ribosomal RNA is filed under the name uncultured bacterium. RNAcentral describes it as "partial 16S ribosomal RNA". It matches the Rfam family "Bacterial small subunit ribosomal RNA", at positions 28 to 507 of the family's 1533-position model. The record is from RNAcentral.